UACGGAGGGUGCUAGCGUUGUUCGGAAUCACUGGGCGUAAAGCGCGUGUAGGCGGCCUGUUAAGUCUGAUGUGAAAGCCCGGGGCUCACCCCCGGAAGUGCAUUGGAAACUGCCAGGCUCGAGUCCCGGAGAGGAGGGUGGAAUUCCUGGUGUAGCGGUGAAAUGCGUAGAUAUCAGGAGGAACACCGGUGGCGAAGGCGGGUCUCUGGGCAACAACUGACGCUGAGGAGCGAAAGCGUGGGGAGCGAACAGG
RNAcentral lists this ribosomal RNA (253 nucleotides) under uncultured bacterium. RNAcentral's name for it is "partial 16S ribosomal RNA". It matches the Rfam family "Bacterial small subunit ribosomal RNA", at positions 524 to 776 of the family's 1533-position model. The record is from RNAcentral.